UUUCUUUUCAUCUUCUGUUUUUGUGGAUUUUUAGGGUUUUAAAUUUUCGGUUACUUGUUAGUAUAGGGUUUGUUAAGCUUCCUGUUAUUAAUGGUAGUAAAUUAUGCAACCGAACCGAAAAUUCUUGUUGCAUUUUUGGCAAUCUUAGUUCCAAAGUAUAUGGUGUAUAAGUUAAGGUAAUAAUUCAAAUUGCAGAAAUCGG
This 202-nucleotide unclassified non-coding RNA is filed under the name Hevea brasiliensis (rubber tree). The record is from RNAcentral. Lineage: Eukaryota; Viridiplantae; Streptophyta; Magnoliopsida; Malpighiales; Euphorbiaceae.